AGAAAUAUAUACAUCUAAUAUCUAUAAAUGCAUUUUAAAAAUAAUCCAGAUAGGCUAAAAACAAAUGCUAAAACUCAUUAAAUAGCAAAAGAUCAGUUAUCAACAAAAAAACUCUCAUAUUUUGUUUUCUUUUUCUUUUAACUUAAGUAAUUUCAUAUCAUAUUUAUACACAUAUUUUUAUCCACAACACUCAAUUUUUGUAUCCGCAUUUGAUGUGUUAGAGUUUUAAUGUUAGAAUUUUUUAUUUUGUAUAACAAAUUUUAUAUCCACGCUCAGUUAACUAUAGUCCUUGUGUCCACAUUAAUUAUAUAUACAUAUAACAAAUUCUACACACAUGUUUGUUAUUAUAUAAAAGAAAUUCUACAUCCACGCUCAUUUGUUGGAGUACCGGAAUCCAUAU
This 400-nucleotide long non-coding RNA is filed under the name Brassica napus (rape). Its description in RNAcentral is "long non-coding RNA (BNAP_LNC015470)". The record is from RNAcentral. Lineage: Eukaryota; Viridiplantae; Streptophyta; Magnoliopsida; Brassicales; Brassicaceae.